AUUGAACGCUGGCGGCAGGCCUAACACAUGCAAGUCGAAUGGUAACAGGAAACAGCUUGCUGUUUCGCUGACGAGUGGCGGACGGGUGAGUAAUGUCUGGGAAACUGCCUGAUGGAGGGGGAUAACUACUGGAAACGGUAGCUAAUACCGCAUAACGUCGCAAGACCAAAGAGGGGGACCUUCGGGCCUCUUGCCAUCAGAUGUGCCCAGAUGGGAUUAGCUAGUAGGUGGGGUAACGGCUCACCUAGGCGACGAUCCCUAGCUGGUCUGAGAGGAUGACCAGCCACACUGGAACUGAGACACGGUCCAGACUCCUACGGGAGGCAGCAGUGGGGAUUAUUGCACAAUGGGCGCAAGCCUGAUGCAGCCAUGCCGCGUGUAUGAAGAAGGCCUUCGGGUUGUAAAGUACUUUCAGCGGGGAGGAAGGGAGUAAAGUUAAUACCUUUGCUCAUUGACGUUACCCGCAGAAGAAGCACCGGCUAACUCCGUG
Molecule: ribosomal RNA, 490 nt
Filed under: uncultured bacterium
Lineage: Bacteria
Description: partial 16S ribosomal RNA
Rfam family: Bacterial small subunit ribosomal RNA
Source: RNAcentral